CAGUUGCUAGGAUUAGACCCGAAACCAGGUGAUCUAGCCAUGGGCAGGUUGAAGGUUGAGUAACAUCAACUGGAGGACCGAACCGACUAAUGUUGAAAAAUUAGCGGAUGACUUGUGGCUAGGGGUGAAAGGCCAAUCAAACCUGGAGAUAGCUGGUUCUCCCCGAAAGCUAUUUAGGUAGCGCCUCGGACGAAUACUACUGGGGGUAGAGCACUGUUAAGGCUAGGGGGUCAUCCCGACUUACCAACCCUUUGCAAACUCCGAAUACCAGUAAGUACUAUCCGGGAGACACACGGCGGGUGCUAACGUCCGUCGUGGAGAGGGAAACAACCCAGACCGCCAGCUAAGGUCCCAAAGUAUAGCUAAGUGGGAAACGAUGUGGGAAGGCUCAGACAGCCAGGAUGUUGGCUUAGAAGCAGCCAUCAUUUAAAGAAAGCGUAAUAGCUCACUGGUCGAGUCGGCCUGCGCGGAAGAUGUAACGGGGCUAAGCUAUACACCGAAGCUGCGGCUACGUACCUUAGGGU
RNAcentral lists this ribosomal RNA (524 nucleotides) under Vibrio sp. RW. RNAcentral describes it as "partial 23S ribosomal RNA". It matches the Rfam family "Bacterial large subunit ribosomal RNA", at positions 697 to 1229 of the family's 2925-position model. The record is from RNAcentral. Lineage: Bacteria; Pseudomonadati; Pseudomonadota; Gammaproteobacteria; Vibrionales; Vibrionaceae.